UACAGAGGGGGCAAGCGUUAUUCGGAAUUAUUGGGCGUAAAGGGCGCGUAGGCGGCUUGGCAAGUGGAAGGUGAAAUCCCUCGGCUUAACCGAGGAACUGCCCUCCAAACUGCUUAGCUUGAGACCGGGAGAGGUGAGUGGAAUUCCCAGUGUAGCGGUGAAAUGCGUAGAUAUUGGGAGGAACACCAGUGGCGAAGGCGGCUCACUGGACCGGUUCUGACGCUGAGGCGCGAAAGCGUGGGGAGCAAACGGG
This 253-nucleotide ribosomal RNA is filed under the name uncultured bacterium. RNAcentral describes it as "partial 16S ribosomal RNA". It matches the Rfam family "Bacterial small subunit ribosomal RNA", at positions 524 to 776 of the family's 1533-position model. The record is from RNAcentral.